AACGAACGCUGGCGGCGUGCCUAAUACAUGCAAGUCGAGCGAGAAAGCCUCUUCGGAGGUGAGUAAAGCGGCGCACGGGUGAGUAACACGUGGGCAACCUACCCUUGAGUCUGGGAUAACCCGGGGAAACUCGGGCUAAUACCAGAUACGGCUGCGGGGUCUUCGGAUCCUGUGGAGAAAGAUGGCCUCUUCUUGAAAGCUAUCUCUCGAGGAUGGGCCCGCGUCCUAUUAGCUAGNGGUGAGGUAACGGCUCACCAAGGCAAAGAUGGGUAGCUGGUCUGAGAGGAUGGCCAGCCACACUGGAACUGAGACACGGUCCAGACUCCUACGGGAGGCAGCAGUAGGGAAUUUU
This 352-nucleotide ribosomal RNA is filed under the name uncultured bacterium. RNAcentral's name for it is "bacterial SSU rRNA". It matches the Rfam family "Bacterial small subunit ribosomal RNA", at positions 29 to 365 of the family's 1533-position model. The record is from RNAcentral.